Molecule: long non-coding RNA, 1327 nt
Organism: Gambusia affinis (western mosquitofish)
Lineage: Eukaryota; Metazoa; Chordata; Actinopteri; Cyprinodontiformes; Poeciliidae
Exons: 3
Source: RefSeq, a predicted model, not a curated record
AAAUUGUAUUUGUGAAGGGGAAACAGUGUCGACACGCUUGUGGGUUUUGUUGAAUGGAGAAACUUUGUGUUCUAUGCUUUGCGUUGGUUUUCGGCUCGUAUUUGAAUACCGGCAUGAAUCAACCGAGGAAGAGGAUUUUUCCUCCCGUGUGGGAUCAUUCUUGAUCUGGUCGCGGAGAAUAAGGCUGCAACUGGAGCUUUUCCACAAAAUGCAUUACGGGGAUGAUCCUGUCAACACUCCGCGAUAAACCCUGGUGCUUCCAGAAAGCAGGCGACUGAACUGGACCUUCAACUCAACCACCUGCUCCCAGUUCAGCUGAAGAUGGAAAUCGAAGGGAUCAGUAAAUGUCUCCUCAAAUGCUGUCAUCAAGGUAUAAAGAUGCAUCUCGGAGGAUCCACUACAAUACUGGGAAAUGCAAAGACUACGAUUACCCUACGUUAUACAAACAAUAAUUACAUUUCUAUGUAUCAUUAUCAGUGACCUGUGAAAGGAUGUUCUCAAAAGCGAGAGAAAUGGUUUGUAAACGGCGCAAUCGCCUCGGCCCAAAGGCUGUUUCCAGUCACUUGCUGUGACAUGAUCUGCAGCAGCAACAGAUUGUCAGCACUGUGUCGACACAGUUUGAGAUAUACGCCAUACACCUAAUGAGGCAUCAUCUGUCCGUCGCUAUUUCUGAAAGCAGUCAGGAUGUGUCUAGUCAACGAAGUCUUGUAGUUUCUGCAUAACAGAAUUCAGAAGUGAUUUUUCUCUUCCCUUCCACAUUUGAAAACCAAUUUUGAGCCAGUUCGCAUUGUCUUGUGAAAGCAAAGCGGAAAAUUUCUUUUCAUCAACAUAUAAAUAUUUGGAUGACCCAUAAGUAGCCAAAUAUUUCUGUCUGAAGUCUUCAAGAAGAAAUAGGCUCUUAUUUUUGUCAGUGUCAUAACUAGUCUGAGGUUUGGACAUUGCACGUCAAUUUACAGCAAUGGGCUGUGCAAAACCUACCUGCACAACACAUUGACUGCUGAGUCAAUGAUAGUCAAUGAUGAGUGAUAUUAGUAGCCAUUUAAGAUUUUCACCAACUGAAGAUGAAGUGUGUAGUCACUUUAGCAUUUUUUUUUUAGCAACUGUGAAAAAAAAUCGACAGAAUGCAAAUUGUUGAAUUCUUUGGGCUUCCUGCUUCUUCAUGUAAGUUAUCUAAAAUAAUAAUAAUAAUAAUAAGAAGAAGAAGAAUAAUAAUACUAAAAAAAAAACCUUGAUGAAUUGUUGUAUUUUAUAAAGUGAAUGUGGAAUUUGAUGAGUUUGGCUGCUGUCAGUUUAAUUUUAUUAAAGUCUAACAUCGUAGUUCUCACAU